Catharus ustulatus (Swainson's thrush) is the source of this 2271-nucleotide RNA transcript. RefSeq lists it as uncharacterized. Lineage: Eukaryota; Metazoa; Chordata; Aves; Passeriformes; Turdidae. The transcript has 17 exons. The record is from RefSeq and is a predicted model, not a curated record.
CUCCAGUGACAGAAAAUACAGACUCACCAGUCUGGGACUUCAGCAGCAAGCAAGAUUAUCCAAAGGGCUUCUCCUGGAUCCACAGCAAACCUUAAUCUUCAAAGUGUGGCAUAAAGCAGGUGAAGGUCAGCUUUCCAGCAUGUCCCAGUAAUUCUGCAAACUUGUCCAAGCAGAUGUUGAAUUCCUUGUCAGAGGAAGUCAGCGUUCCCGCUCUGGAGUGAUAAGCCCACAGGCUGACAACCUUUCUGGUUAUUCUCAGGUCUCAGAAAGACCACUCUAAAGCAAAUUGACUCUACUGGAAAAACGAAAAAACUUGAGCUGGGUGAGGUUCAAAGAUACUUCAGUGAGAAGCUGACCAGGUCUUUCCCUGACUUCAGCACAUCCAAACCAAGCCAUGAGGAGUGUGAGAGUGACCCUCAGGGCUUGAUGAGCAGAGAAGUGGAUCCCAAAGGCUGCCAUCUUCUGGAAAAAUCCAGUCAGUUGGUGUCUCAGGUCAGCAGCCUAAUCAAUGAGCACUGAACCCAUCAAGAGAAGUGUAGAGAUCCAUGCAGGCUCUGAGGAGCUGCUGCCAUUCCCAGGAGACAGGGGUUUGACCAGUGGAAAAACCACUGAGAGAGAGGAGGAGGAAAAUGCUGAGGUUGUAAAUGGAGAUCAUCAAAGCAAAGAAGGAAGUGGUUCUGAUGAGAACUGUGUUGGGAGUGUAUCAGCACAAGCUGGCUCAGAAGGAAACUGUGAGAGCUUCCCUGAUGACAGCAGUGAAGACCCAGUGGAAGGCUCAGAAAACUCCAUCAAACCAAAAAUCCCUUUAUCUGAUCCUGUUGUUGUUCCCAACUUCUUCCUUCCACCCCAGGAGAUGGAAACCUCCAUGAGACUGCUCAGCACUUCCUCUCAUCCCUCUGCAUCUCCAGAGGGCCCUCUCCCGGAGAGAAGCUCACCCUGGGGGGCACAACCCCCUGGGAGGACCCUCAGUGGAGCACCGCAGGACGCUCACCCCGGGGUCCCUGCAGGGCCAGGAGUCCCAACACCCGCCCUCUCCAGGCACAGGCGUGGGCACACGGAUCCUGGCUGCCUGCACCACAGGGGCUGUGGCCGUGGCCUGCGCGCAGCCCACCGACGUGGUCAAGGUGCGGUUCCAGGCCAGCGCGGCCCUGUCGAACAGCGCGCCCCGCUACAGCAGCACUGUGGACGCUACCGCACCAUCGCCAGGGAGGAGGGGAUCCGCGGGCUCUGGAGAGGGACGCCGCCCAACAUCGCCCGCAAUGCCGUCAUCAACUGCGGGGAGCUCGUCACCUACGACCUCAUCAAGGACGCGCUGCUGCGGGCACAGCUCAUGGCAGACAAUGUCCCGUGCCACUUCGUGGCCGCCUUUGGCGCCGGGUUCUGUGCCACAGUGGUGGCAUCGCCGGUGGACGUGGUGAAGACGCGGUACAUGAACGCCAGCCCCGGGCAGUACAGCAACGCCCUGAGCUGCCUCCUGGCCCUGCUCACGCAGGAUGGCCCCGCCGGCCUCUACAAGGGCUCUGGCUCUGAGAUGUUCCAGUUGAUGGCUGCUCCAGUUCCUUCCAGGUCCCUGAGCUGGGCCUUUCUCCAUCUCUGCCAGUGGACUCUUCUGCAGCUUGGAAAGUCAGCAUGUGCGUCGUGGCUCCAGCUCUGCAUGCAGUUCAGCUCUCAUCCUAGAGCCUCUGAAGCCCACCCCACGCUGGGCCUUUCUCCAUCUCUGCCAGUGGACUCUUCUGCAGCUUGGAAAGUCAGCAUGUGCGUCGUGGCUCCAGCUCUGCAGCCGUUCAGCUCUCAUCCUAGAGCCUUGAAGCCCACCCCACGCUGGGCCUUUCUCCAUCUCUGCCAGUGGACUCUUCUGCAGCUUGGAAAGUCAGCAUGUGCGUCGUGGCUCCAGCUCUGCUGCAGUUCAGCUCUCAUCCUAGAGCCUCCAAGCCCACCCCACGCUGGGCCUUUCUCCAUCUCUGCCAGUGGACUCUUCUGCAGCUUGGAAAGUCAGCAUGUGCGUCGUGGCUCCAGCUCUGCAGCCGUUCAGCUCUCAUCCUAGAGCCUUGAAGCCCACCCCACGCUGGGCCUUUCUCCAUCUCUGCCAGUGGACUCUUCUGCAGCUUGGAAAGUCAGCAUGUGCGUCGUGGCUCCAGCUCUGCUGCAGUUCAGCUCUCAUCCUAGAGCCUCCAAGCCCACCCCACGCUGGGCCUUUCUCCAUCUCUGCCAGUGGACUCUUCUGCAGCUUGGAAAGUCAGCAUGUGCGUCGUGGCUCCAGCUCUGCAUCCG